GCCAGAGCUCGGGACUGGUGCUGACCUGCAGGAUGGAGGGGAGAAAAGAAGACUCAUCAACAGAACAAAUGUUGCUGGAACAUUACUUAUAAUGGCAAUAAUUGGAAACAAUCAAAGGAUGUCACUAUAGGGACUUGGGUUAAGAAAAUUAUGACACAUCAAAAGCACAGUGAAGAGAACUUCUGUCAAUCCUGUCAAGCACAUGAAGAUGUGAAGUUUCAACUGGAUUCAUUUCUAUAAAUAAAGGCUACGAGAAGAUCUGGUUAAGAGUAUCCUAAGGGAGGAUCUAAGCCUGUUCAUACUCUACAAGCAAAGAAACAUUAAAAAACAAAACAGAAAACCAAAACUUGAAGAAACGAAGUGACCAGUUCACUACCAUUCAACUAAUAAUGGAUAGAGCCAGGACUCAGUAUCUAGUCAUGUGAUGACAAAGCCCGCACUCUUACUGUACAGCCUCACCUUGGAUAAAUCUCAUUUCAAGACAGGUAAUUUUGAGAAUAUCUUAGGCCCCCCUUCUAUCAAAGAGAGGGAUCGAAUUUAAAAUUUAUCUGGAAUGCCAACUCUGAUUAACUCCCUGGAGAGAGUCCCUGGAGGACUGGUUGAGAAGAACCCUGAGGAUGCAUCAGUGUUCAUCAGGAAAGAGCGCCAACACCCAGCGUGCCCACUCAUGAGCAGGGAGGAGAUGAUGCAUGGGAAUCUACAACUCUAUCUCAAGUUUCCCAGACACACACUAAAGCUCUGCAGAAGAUUUUGGUGCCCCUGAGCUACUUUUACACAGCAAAGAAGACUUCUGAUGUGAUUCCUGGUGGCAGUGAGUAGUAUGCGGUGAUUUCCAUCAGAGUGGCUGGGUUUGUCAAAGCUUUAUUAGAGAUUCCUAUGAUUUGGAGAAAAAGCCAGGGUCCUAUUUUGGCAACUUUUCUGAUAUAGGUAAUAAAAACAAAAUGCCAUGAA
Gorilla gorilla gorilla (western lowland gorilla) is the source of this 951-nucleotide long non-coding RNA. RefSeq lists it as uncharacterized. Lineage: Eukaryota; Metazoa; Chordata; Mammalia; Primates; Hominidae. The record is from RefSeq and is a predicted model, not a curated record. The transcript has 4 exons.